AACGCACAUUGCGCCCUCUGGUAUUCCGGAGGACAUGCCUGUUCGAGCGUCAUUAGACCAAUCAAGCACGGCUUGGUGUUGGGGCCCGCCGGUGGCGGCCCUUAAAAACAGUGGCGGUGCCGUCUGGCUCUCAGCGUAGUAAUUUUUCUUGCUAUUGGGUCCGGCUGGUUGCUUGCCAUCAACCCCUAAUUUACUCAGGUUGACCUCGGAUCAGGUAGGGAUACCCGCUGAACUUAA
This 237-nucleotide unclassified non-coding RNA is filed under the name uncultured fungus. Its description in RNAcentral is "partial contains 5.8S ribosomal RNA, internal transcribed spacer 2, and large subunit ribosomal RNA". The record is from RNAcentral. Lineage: Eukaryota; Fungi.